CCUACGGGAGGCAGCAGUGGGGAAUAUUGCACAAUGGGGGAAACUCUGAUCCAGCAAAGCCGCGUGAGUGAAGAAGUAUUUCGGUAUGUAAAGCUCUAUCAGCAGGGAAGAAGAUGACGGUACCUGAGUAAGAAGCCCCGGCUAACUACGUGCCAGCAGCCGCGGUAAUACGUAGGGGGCAAGCGUUAUCCGGAUUUACUGGGUGUAAAGGGAGCGUAGACGGUGGGGCAAGUCUGAAGUGAAAGCCCGGGGCUCAACCCCGGGACUGCUUUGGAAACUGCGUGGCUGGAGUGCUGGAGAGGCAAGCGGAAUUCCUAGUGUAGCGGUGAAAUGCGUAGAUAUUAGGAAGAACACCAGUGGCGAAGGCGGCUUACUGGACAGUAACUGACGUUGAGGCUCGAAAGCGUGGGGAGCAAACAGGAUUAGAUACCCCAGUAGUC
This 440-nucleotide ribosomal RNA is filed under the name uncultured bacterium. Its description in RNAcentral is "partial 16S ribosomal RNA". It matches the Rfam family "Bacterial small subunit ribosomal RNA", at positions 338 to 795 of the family's 1533-position model. The record is from RNAcentral.